This 383-nucleotide ribosomal RNA is filed under the name bacterium enrichment culture DGGE gel band MC16. RNAcentral describes it as "bacterial SSU rRNA". It matches the Rfam family "Bacterial small subunit ribosomal RNA", at positions 959 to 1342 of the family's 1533-position model. The record is from RNAcentral.
ACGCGAAGAACCUUACCUACUCUUGACAUCCAGAGAACUUAGCAGAGAUGCUUUGGUGCCUUCGGGAACUCUGAGACAGGUGCUGCAUGGCUGUCGUCAGCUCGUGUUGUGAAAUGUUGGGUUAAGUCCCGCAACGAGCGCAACCCUUAUCCUUUGUUGCCAGCGAUUCGGUCGGGAACUCAAAGGAGACUGCCAGUGAUAAACUGGAGGAAGGUGGGGAUGACGUCAAGUCAUCAUGGCCCUUACGAGUAGGGCUACACACGUGCUACAAUGGCAUAUACAAAGAGAAGCGACCUCGCGAGAGCAAGCGGACCUCAUAAAGUAUGUCGUAGUCCGGAUUGGAGUCUGCAACUCGACUCCAUGAAGUCGGAAUCGCUAGUAAU